Molecule: long non-coding RNA, 532 nt
Organism: Mustela lutreola (European mink)
Lineage: Eukaryota; Metazoa; Chordata; Mammalia; Carnivora; Mustelidae
Exons: 3
Source: RefSeq, a predicted model, not a curated record
CAAGCUGAGCCAGUUCCGUCAGCCCCGUUUUACGGAGGAGGAGCCCGGGGUCCCCAGAGCUGCAGCGAAGUGUCGGAGAGUCCGGCUGCCCUUGUCUUUCCAGCCCCGUUUGGUCACGGCUUCCCACCAUGGCUAGUCUAUAGGCGGUCCAUCUUCCUUUCUUGAUUCAUGCAACCCUUCUGAUACUUGAAAGUGGUUCUUUCCUUCGAGAAUCUUCACUUGAACCAUCCCAGGAUGUAAAUCUCCCAAUGAAGAGAUACCUAAAUGCUAGAGCAUUGGAAGCCUUGAGUGUUGUUCUUACCAGGAAAUCAAACUGGAGGAAAAAGACAUAUAACUGUGAAUAGAAGACCUCAUAUUUACAUAAUUGUUUAUUACUUGCAUUUUACUCAAAUUCUCAGGAGCUCUUCGAACUAAACACAGGAGGAAAGCUUUCAGAAAUCGGGAACUAAACACCGAUGCUGGUGUGUGACAUUUGACCUGCUCCCCUCUGUAUCUGAGUUAUUUGUGCCUUUUCUCAACUCAUUAAACUCUA